AUAAACAAAAAAGAAAAAUAAUUCAACAAAAAAGAACAAACAAUAUAAAAAAGAACAUAAAUUUUUAGAGAAAGAACAACAAUACAACAAUUAUGAACAAUUUUAUGAUGAAUUUAAAGAACAACGUGAAAGAACAAGCAGUACAACAAGAAAAUAACAAACAAUACAGACGCGUCGUUUUUUAAGGGUACAGUCAGAGUUGGUUGUACCCGGGUAUAACAGUUAGGGGUUAAAGGAAUUAUAACAUUUUGGAUUUUUAUGUAAUAGCCCAAGCCCCAAUUCACCAUUCACUGUUUAACCCUAAAUAUAAAAGCUCUCUAUUACUCUAACCCUAACCAUUUUCAGAUUCUUUUACAGUUUUACCAGCCACCCUUUCUUUCUCUAAGAUAGCUCAUACACACUCUCUCUCUCUUAAUUUCCACCGCUUCUCCUAUUAGUCCCUAGUCUCCGCCGCCUUCUUCAACAGUUCAGCUCACCUCCUUAUCGUCUCACGUGACCACUUUAACCGGUAAUGUUAGUUGUUUUGAUUUUUUUUUUUGGGCUUUGUUAUUUUAGAUCUAUCAUUUUAUUAUAAUUUUUGUUGAUGUAUUAUGUUUUAUCAUUUUAUGUUGACUAUAGAGUAUAUUUAUGGAUUAUAUGUUAUUCUUAUAAUUAUAAUUAUGUCGAUCUUUAUGUUUAAUAAUUUCGAAGUCUAAAUGUUAAAUUUAUGUUAAUUAUGUGGACUCAUAGUUACGUUAGGUGUGGAUUAAUGGUUGAUUAUAGAGUAAAUUUGUGCAUUAAUUGUUAGUUUUACAGUAAUAUAUAUUUUUAUGGCAAGUAAGAUAUAUAUUACCAAUAAGAUAUAGAUAUCAAUUGCGUUUUUGUAAGUUGGUACAUAUACUGUAUAUAAUUGAUGUGAAUUUGAAUAAUAAUUACUCUGUUUAGUUUUGUUUUUUUGUUGCAAAAAAGAUGAACCAGCUCAAAAGCGGGAGAGGAGGAAGCCCAAAGUUUACUAUAAUGUUCAAGAAUAGUUUAACGGUAACUUUUACGUAAGACCGCCUUACCGGAAAGACCACUUUGAUUAUUUCACUAAUUGGUUUAAUUUCUUAACUAAUUAGUUUUAGUUCUUAACUUAUUAGUUUCAUUGUUUAACUAAUUGAUUUUAGUGCUUAACUAAUUAGUUGCAGUGCUUAACUAAUUGAUUUCAUUCUUUAACUUAUAUGACACCAAGGUGGGCUUUUGUGUAAGGCCGCCUUAUAUAAAAGUUACAAAUAGUUUAAUUAUGUUGUAAUCUUUAAUAUUUGUUGAAAUUUUUUUCGUUGUAAAUUUUAACUUUUGCGUUUUGAUUUUUGCCCCUGAUAAACUGAUUUUACAUGCUCGUCUUUUACUCUUUGCCAGUUAUAUGUUGCUCAAGUAUAUGUUAAAAACAAUUAAAACUAAUUCGGUAAAACAAUCAAACAUUUUCGUGUUGACCUAAAAUAAAAAUUAAAAUAUGAUUUCGGGUUAAACAGAUCAGGUCGGGUCAACCUGAAAAAUAACAGAUCGGGUUCAGGUUUGAGUUUUCAACCUGUUUAGUAAAACAGAUCAGGUUCAGGUCGGGGGGUUACAACUACUCCCUCCGUCCCGGAAUACUCGACCCGGUUUGACCGGCACAAAGUUUAAGGGACUUAAAUGGACUUAUUUAAUUUAAUAGGUAGUAGUUGAUAGUGGGGUAUUAUUUUAAUGUAGUUAGAGGGAGGUGGUUAAGAGGUGGGGUUGGGGGAGAGUAGGGGUUGAAUUUUUAAUUAUUUUUUGUAUGAAGUAGGGGGUAGGUGGGUUAAUAGGGGUGGAGUGAGAAAUAAUAUAAUAUUGUUAGAAUAUUUCCAUUUUUAGAAACAUGUCAAGUAUUAAGGGACUACACGAUAAGGAAAACAGGUCAAGUAUUCCGGGACGGAGGGAGUAAUCGUUAACAGCUGUACCCGGGUACAGCCAGACCCCCCAAAAACGACGCGCUCAUAUUGUUUGUUCAUUCUUGUCGACUGUUUGUUCUUUUUUAUUGUACUGUUUGUUUAUUCUUAUUGUACUGUUUGUUCUUUCUCGUUGUACUGUUUGUUCUUUCUUGUUGUACUGUUUGCUCUUUCUUGUUGUACUGUUUGUUCUUUCAUGUUGUUUUUUAAAUUCAUCAUCAAAUUUUCAUAAUUGUUGUAUUUUUUGUUCUUUCUUCUGGAAUUUUAUGUUCUUUUUUAUAUUGUUUGUUCUUUCUUGUUUAUUUGUUUGUUUAUAAUAAUCAUUUGGUUAAUGUUCAUAAUUAAACUCUUCAUUAAUCUUUUAUUCUUUCUUUUUGUAUUGUUUGUUCUUUCUUGUUGUAUUGUUUGUUCUUUCUUGUUGUUUUUUAAAUUCAUUCAUCAAACUUAUUGUUGUAUUGUUUGUUCUUUCAUGUUGGCUUUAAAAUUCAUCAUAAAAUUGUUCAUAAUUGGUGUAUUGUUUGUUCUUUUUUCUGGAAUUUUAUGUUCUUUUUUAUAUUGUUUGUUCUUUUUUGUUGAAUUAUUUGUUCUUUCUUGUUUAUUUGUUUGUUCAAUAAAUAUAUGGUUAAUGUUCAUAAUGAAAUUGUUCACUUCAUUGGUCUUUUGUGUUUUUACAAGCGCCUAUAUUGUUUAUUUCCAAAUAAAUAAAUAAAUGUUCAUUUCCAAAAUAGUAAAUGUUCAUUCCAAAUAAAUAAAUAAAUGUUCAUUUCCGAAAUAGUAAAUGUUCAUUUUUGUACCAGUAUUUGUUCUUUCUUGUUGUAUUGUUUGUUCUUUCAUGUUGGCUUUAAAAUUCAUCAUAAAAUUGUUCAUAAUUGUUGUGUUGGUUGUUCUUUUUUCUGGAAUUUUAUGUUCUUUUUUAUAUUGUUUAUUCUUUUUUGUUGAAUUAUUUGUUCUUUCUUGUUUAUUUGUUUGUCCACAAUUAAUAUAUGGUUAAUGCUCAUAAUGAAAUUGUUCAUUUCAUUGGUCUUUAUGUUUUUACAAGCGCCUAUAUUGUUUAUUUCCAAAUAAAUAAAUAAAUGUUCAUUUCCAAAAUAGUAAAUGUUCAUUCCAAAUAAAUAAAUAAAUGUUCAUUUCCGAAAUAGUAAAUGUUCAUUUUUGUAGUUUAUUUCCAAAUAAAUAAAUAAAUGUUUAUUUCCAAAAUAGUAAAUGUUCAAUCCAAAUAAAUAAAUAAAUGUUCAUUUCCAAAAUAGUAAAUGUUCAUUUUUGUACCAGUAUAUUAAUGUUCAUUUUAAACAACACAAAAUGACAUCGUUUUGGAUGGGGGUACAACCAGCUUUGGCUGUACCCGGGUAUAGCCAAAAAUUUGCGGGUCACAACCCGAUUAUAGUUGACCCGAACAUGAACCUGACCCAAACUGACCUGAUUGCCAGCCCUAUAUAAAACCCUAUCCAAAAUAAAAUACUCUAAUAAUUAAAAAAUAAAUCUAAAUAAAAUUCAAUUCAAAAGCAAACACUAGUGUAAAAAAUAUAGUAUAUAAAAACACUAAUCUCAUAUUUACGUAAUAAAAAUUGGAGACUUUUAGAAUUGUCUAAUAACACUCCGAAAAGUUUAAGACGACCCUGAUUCAGUAGUUCAACGUAAUUCACAUGCAUUAAUUUGAGAGUAGCAUUAGUAGUCGGGUGAGCAUCGAAAAAGGCGUAAAUUUAUAAAGGAAAAAUAAUCUUUCACUUUUAACAUACUUUCACUGUGCAAUAUUUAUAAUUAACCUUUGACGUAAUGUGAAUUUAUAAAAGAAAAUAAUAAAAAAUAAAAUAUAAUGGUAAUCUCUAAAAUUGUAAGAAAUAUGGAACAAUUAAUAUCAUAUUAUCAGUGACAAAAAUAUAAUGAUACAAUUUUUUAAAAUAUCGCUGGGAAUAUAAAAAAGAUUCCAUUGUAUAAAUUUGACUGUGUUCAGUUAUAACACUUGUAACACUAAAAACUAUGUACUCACUCCAUGGUAUGUACAUUUUUGUUAUUUAGUAAAUUUUAUUUGAGUUAUUGUAUAACCAAUUUUCUAAACAAAUUUGUCUUUUUUCCUUUGUUGUUUUUUUCUCUUUCUAAAUGUGGUUGGUAUGGUUGUUAAUGGUUCACUUUAACCUUUAUUUUUAUUUUUUAACAAAUAGUGCCUUUUAUUAACAAUUGUUCAUAAAUUCUGCCUAGUUUGUGCUUCUUUUAUAUUUACAACUUCGUUCAAUAUUUCAUUUUCCCACUUAGACUUCUUUUUUUGUUCCCUAAAUUUUGUGAUAUUAUUUCAAUUGAGUGAUAUUGGGGGUUAACACAAAAGUUAAAAUGAAACUCAUGCUUACACAAAAAAAAAUGAAACAAAACCCGUGCAUUACCCGAAAUACCGCUUAAUAACAUAAGUACAAAAUAAUUAAUAUAAUAAAAAUUAAAACGAAACCGGUGCAUUGCACGGGAUUUAAUACUAGUAUACAAUUGAAGAGAACAUACUUGCGCAAUUAUUAGAGCGCCAUGUAAGGAAUCAUUAUAUUCGGCCAAUGAGAAAUAAGAAAUCUAAUUUAUUUUAGAAUUAAAAAAUAAUUUUAAAAUCAUUAGAUUUCGGCCAAUGAGAAAUAAGAUUUCUAAUCUAUUUUGGAAUUAAAAAAUACUCGUGCCACAUAGAUAAAUAAAUAAAUAGUUUUCAUGUACAUAUUUUAAUUAAUUGAAUUAAAUGAAUGUUUCCAACAAUGAGAUAAAUAUUUUGUUUCAAAUUGUGCAUAGCAUUAGUGUGUAGUUUCUUCUUAUAAAGAAGUGUGUGGCCACAAUAUAUACAUUAAAUCCUUUUGUUUUUGUGAUCUUUUCGUGCCUAAUUAGCCAUUGUUUUCUUAAUAAAUUUUUUUUGUUUGUUAUUUUCGGAGUUACAUUAGUGAUUGUGAUUUUUGAAGGCUACUAAUCACGUCGAGCACUGUGAAAGAAAGAAACUUUACAGCAUUGUUCAAACUUACUAUUUGGUGACAAUAGAGAGGAAGCAAGAGUCGAGGAGUAUCAAGAAUAUUUUUUUUUUGACAUAAUCAAGAAUAAUAUGUAGCCAUCAUUCAACCAUUACCGUUAUCAUUGAUUCAUGAGAUAAAAGAAUAGCAAAACAACUUCAUUUUUUACUCCUUAUCUAAAUCAUAUCCAUGAAUUAUACUAUGUACCUCACCAAACCCCACAAAUUCUAAACAAUGAGGUCUAUUUCGUUUAGCACAUGAAGUGCAAAAUAUUUUAUGUACUCUAACCAACUAGUCACGUGUCUACCUUUUCAAUAAUGUAAAUACGAAGUAUUUAGUUUUAA
Long non-coding RNA from Spinacia oleracea (spinach), 5235 nucleotides. RefSeq lists it as uncharacterized. The record is from RefSeq and is a predicted model, not a curated record. NCBI's taxonomy places the organism in Eukaryota, Viridiplantae, Streptophyta, Magnoliopsida, Caryophyllales, Amaranthaceae. The transcript has 2 exons.